AACUUUCUAAGGAAGGCAUCCCGCGGGAUGUCAGGACCUGGAAGCUGACUCGCUCCAAUGGACCAUCCCAGGAUCCUCGCUGAGGCUUCACAUGGCCGCACGGAAACACCUAGAGGGAGGGAAAGGCAAGACUGAGUGUGGUGAGGGCGGCGAUGAUGUGAUCAUGAGACUAAUAACAAGCCGAGCCAUUUGCUGCCCUAUGACAUCAGCUCUAGAAAAUGCUGACUCAAUAGACUUCAGUCUAAAAGCUCAACAAAUACUUAUGGAGGUCUUGCUAUGGGCCAAAUAACAGGCUAAAGACUUUAUAAAAUAUCCCACUUAUGAGCUCCUCGAAACACCAAUGGCAAGAAGUCGGUGUUGCCUUCUGUUUUCCAGAUGAGGAGGCCCGCUUACGAGAGCUGAGUCAUUCACUUCAUGUGACACAGCCAGGGCCCCACUGCUCCGCAGAAGCCUCCCAGCAUUACAACUUUUGUAAAGAAAGCAAGACAAACCAGUUUGAAGAACUUCAGCCUGACAUGGGCUGAGAUAACACAGGGAAGCAGAGCCAUACAACACGGGCCAAAACAAAAACCAUGAACGAGAUCGCACUGCCUGUCCCGGCGAUCGGUGCUGCAGGGAACGGACCUCAGCAAUGACCCGAAACCCAUCUGCACAGGCGUGUUUAUGGGAUACGAUUUACAAGCUGGAAGGGACCCAACCCCCCAGCCAUGAGUCACGAGCACUGGGCUCCGUAUCUCCUAAGUUUACAAAACGCCUUCACACGCGCCUUGACUCUUCGGGCCCUGCUCCCGUGAAACAUCACAGACUGAGUGGCUUAUGCAACAAACAUCUACUCCUCUCAGUCCCAGAGGCUGGGAAGUCCAAGGUCAGGGUGCUGGCGGAUGUCUGAUGGGGGCUCGCUUCCUGAUGGCAGCCUUCAGACUGUGUUCUCACCUGGCAGAGAGAGAAAGAGAGAGAGAGAGAGAGAUGGCGCCAGUCUGCAGGCUCUGAUAAGGGCACUGAUCCUGUCACGGUCCCCACCCUCGAGACCUCACCUAACCCUAAUUACCUCCCACGGGCGCCACCUCCAGGGACAACACACUGGGGGUUUCGAACGUCAGGGGGACACAGACACUCAGUCCAUAGCGACAGCGCUGUGUGCUUUGAUCCUCUCCAAGCCCCUUGUCAAGUGAAGGUCGAGGUUGAGCAACGUCCCCUCCUGGCCUCAGACCUGGGGUGAUACCACAGGUGAGGAAACAGAGGAGAGAGAAGCCAGGUGAAUGGUGCGCUCAUCUUGUUCCUGCCUGUGUUAGGGGCUCUCUGAUCCCUGUUUUAUUAGGUGACUGCUGCCCGCUCAGCACCCUGGACCCGCCUCUCAACAUACUGCUCUGGUGACAUCCGGUGAUCGUGGUCCCCUGCCCCCUUGGCGUGUCAGGAAUUGUGUCCUUACAUAUUCUUCCCUUUGCCCGUGACACUGGGCGCCUGGUUAAUAUCUCCUGCUGCUCCAAGCCGCUGCCCAGACAACACGUUAUCCCGAGAGCCUUCGCUGUAGGACAUCUUCCCUUGGAAGGAAGCCCUGAGCACCUUAGCACAGGGACCUGCAGGAAAGCACAGCUGCCAGGGACCCCAGACCAUCCAGAAUCGGUGCUUUUUUGCUCCCUCCCUCCCAGAAGGGAUGGUCAAGAUAAAUUCUAGAAUGUUCCCUGUCCCUGCUGGCCUGGCCACCUGCAGAAACACAGGCCAGCCUCAACAACCAGCACACCCGAACCCUCAUCCCCACUGUGCCAGGGCCCCGUCCUCUGUGCCCUUCUCUGUCUUCCCGUAUGCCUUCAGGGAGCUCA
Long non-coding RNA from Herpailurus yagouaroundi (jaguarundi), 1820 nucleotides. RefSeq lists it as uncharacterized. The record is from RefSeq and is a predicted model, not a curated record. The transcript has 2 exons. Lineage: Eukaryota; Metazoa; Chordata; Mammalia; Carnivora; Felidae.